RNAcentral lists this ribosomal RNA (253 nucleotides) under uncultured bacterium. RNAcentral describes it as "partial 16S ribosomal RNA". It matches the Rfam family "Bacterial small subunit ribosomal RNA", at positions 524 to 776 of the family's 1533-position model. The record is from RNAcentral.
UACGUAGGGGGCAAGCGUUGUCCGGAAUCAUUGGGCGUAAAGAGCGCGUAGGCGGCCCUGUAAGUCCGCUGUGAAAGUCAAGGGCUCAACCCUUGGAUGCCGGUGGAUACUGCAGGGCUAGAGUCCGGAAGAGGCGAGUGGAAUUCCUGGUGUAGCGGUGAAAUGCGCAGAUAUCAGGAGGAGCACCAGCGGCGAAGGCGGCGCUCUGGGCCGGUACUGACGCUGAGGAGCGAAAGCGUGGGGAUCAAACAGG